AAAACCAUUUAACCAUAAAUUUAAGGGGGGCUAAAACGCACGUCACGCGGUUUGAUAAGUCAGAUGUCCUCUUUAAAAAAAAAGCUGGGAACUGCAUCUGAUACUGCCAUUUUUGACCCCCGUAAAGGGGGGUAAAUUCCAGGUGUAUCGGUGAAAUGCGUAGAGAUCGGGAGGAUACCGGUGGCGAAGGCGGCCCCCUGGACGAAGACUGACGCUCAGGUGCGAAAGCGUGGGGAGCAAACAUGAUUAACAUACCCUGGUAGUCCACGCCGAAAACAAUGGCUACUUGGAGGUUGUGCCCUUGAGGCGUGGCUUCCGGAGCUAAAGCGUUAAGUCGACCGCCUGGGGAGUACGGCCGCAAGGUUAAAACUCAUAUGAAUUGACGGGGGCCCGCACAGUCGGUGGAACAUAUGGUUUAAUUCGAUGCACCGCGAACAACCUUAUCUGGUCUUGACUUCCAUGGAAUUUUUAAGAGAUGAUAUUGGGCCUUCGGGAACCGUGAUACAGGUGCUGCAUGGAUGUCGUCAGCUCGUG
Molecule: ribosomal RNA, 534 nt
Filed under: uncultured bacterium
Lineage: Bacteria
Description: partial 16S ribosomal RNA
Rfam family: Bacterial small subunit ribosomal RNA
Source: RNAcentral